ACAAUGAUGAUGUCACUGAUUCUACUGCUGGCCACCCUGGGGCUCCUUGUUCAGGAUUCAUCAGGAGAAAUCAUCCUGACUCAGUCUCCUGGAUCUCAGUCUGUUGUUCCAGGACAGACUGUCUCUCUCAGAUGUAAAGCCAGUUCAAGUAUGAGUAACUACCUUCACUGGUACCUUCAGAAAGCUGGAGAAUCUCCUCAACUUUUUAUUAGUUAUGCUACAACCCGUCAGUCUGGAGUUUCAGAUCGUUUCAGUGGGAGUCAGUCUGGAACUGACUUCACUUUGACCAUCAGAGGAGUCCAGACUGAAGAUGCAGGAGUUUAUUACUGUCAGCAGGGUGGUCACAGCUUCCCGUUCACACAGUGAUACAACGUCGUACAAAAACCUCCCUCAGCUGGAGAGGAACUGAUCUGACUCACCAGCUGCACAGAAAUGAAAACACUAGAUGUUUAAAUAUUAAUACAGUAUAAAAGAAAUAACAGCAAAAUCAUGGAAAUACAGAAUAUGCAGAAGUAGUAUUUUUAUUGAUAGUGUUUUUUUAGAGAGGUGUCAAAACAGUAUAUCCAAAGCCACUUCUCAGUAAAAAGACAGUAAUGCAGUUUUUGAAAUAUUCACAAAAAAUAAUUUAAAGAUUUAUAAAAUUAAUGACAUGUGUUUCUCAGUGUCUUGAAAUGUUAUUUUCAAAGUAAUUCAACAUUUUAUUGAAACACACUGAGAGGUUACAAUAAUAAGAAAUGUCAUUUCGUGAGUUUUCCUUUGUUUUAGGUGAGUAUUUUAUUUAAAUUCAAUGCACUUCCAUGCGGAUUUUGUAAAAUGUGAAAUCACAUUUAUAUUUUGUUAUUUUGAUUGUUACGUCCCCGCUCGCUAGGGGUAGGGGAAACAUAAAGCAGAUGUUUUUGGUAAAAGUGUAAAUGUUAUUUAAUAAACGGGAAAAAGUUAAAACAAAAAGUCAAAACACAAACUGGGCAAGUGAGUGCUGCGUAAACCAAAGAACAAAACAGAACCAAAAGAGAUCCCUCCUAAACAAGGGAUUACUAACUAUGUUAGUAUUUUGUCUGCAGAUAAUAAAAUUUAAGAUAUAA
Non-coding RNA from Micropterus salmoides (largemouth bass), 1082 nucleotides. The record is from the annotation of a RefSeq genome assembly. Lineage: Eukaryota; Metazoa; Chordata; Actinopteri; Centrarchiformes; Centrarchidae.